This 427-nucleotide ribosomal RNA is filed under the name uncultured bacterium. RNAcentral describes it as "bacterial SSU rRNA". It matches the Rfam family "Bacterial small subunit ribosomal RNA", at positions 355 to 774 of the family's 1533-position model. The record is from RNAcentral.
UGGGGAAUAUUGGACAAUGGGCGCAAGCCUGAUCCAGCCAUGCCGCGUGGGUGAAGAAGGCCUUCGGGUUGUAAAGCCCUUUUGUUGGGGAAGAAAUCGUGCAGGUGAAUAUCCUGCGCGGAUGACGGUACCCAAAGAAUAAGCACCGGCUAACUUCGUGCCCGCAGCCGCGGUAAUACGAAGGGUGCAAGCGUUACUCGGAAUUACUGGGCGUAAAGCGUGCGUAGGCGGGUCGUUAAGUCCGUUGUGAAAGCCCUGGGCUCAUCCUGGGGCCUGCAGUGGNUACGGGCAAACUAGAGUGCGGUAGGGGAGAUUGGAAUUCCUGGUGUAGCGGUGGAAUGCGCAGAUAUCAGGAGGAACACCGAUGGCGAAGGCAGAUCUCUGGGCCGUAACUGACGCUGAGGAGCGAAAGCAUGGGGAGCGAACA